CCGUCGCGCUGCGCCGCUCCAGUUCUUGCAAACACGCGGGAUGCUGCGAGAAGGCGAAACUGGCACGUGGCAGGGUGACCCACGAUACAGCGCAGUUGGUGUGGAGUUUGUUGCACCUCAGAGUGUCUUCUGCCGGCCAGGUGUGCCUUCGACCUAGCUGGAUGACGAGUAAGCGAAGCAGACAGGCUGCGUAGGAGAUGCAGUUUCUGCCCCAGGAAUCGUGGCAGAAAACCAAAGAACAUCUGCACCUCAUCCCACAUAAGGAGACCAUCUUGCUGUUUCUACGGCACGUUACCAGCUUCAGUUCUGUACCGCCACUCAUCGCCUGUCCUCCGUACCGCCUCCACCAAAUGCUGUAUGUCGCCUAGCCGCUGUCCGUAUCCAGUGUUCCUGUUUCAGCGGCUCCUCUACGAGAUCUCCGCAUACACCGUCGAAAGAAGAAAUUUAAAAAAAAAUUUUUUUGAAACACUGUUGUAAAGAUUUUUUUGGCUAUGAGGCACUUUUCUAUCUACCUCAUCUAUCAAGUUUUUAUACAUUUCAAAAUUACUUUCUUUAGGCUUUCCUAUCGUCUUUAAUACCUGAGCUGGGGUCUAGUCUUCCAGGUUUUCCAGGGUUUCCCUGUGAAGGCCAGCUCCCAAAUGGGUAGACCUUUUCCGCGAUCAUACUGAUUUAUAUCUUCCCUGGUUAUGUACGUGGGAUGCGGAUAUACCUCGGUACAUGUAAAAGUCACAGCCUAGGUAUUCUGGUAACGUACAGUCUUAACAUGUUACCCAUUCACUCUAUGGUAAAUUUCUAAAAAACUAAUCUUCAAAAUAUUUCUCUUUUGAAUAAACGAGCCAACAAAAUUUAUGGUUAGCUCACAAAGUGUAUUAUCAUUAACUUUGCUCGCUGCGAGGGGCAAUUGUAAUAUCGCUUUAUAUUCUGCUAAUUAUCUCUGCACAACUCUAUGAGUGAAUUACGUUUCAUACUUGACCAUCUACAUACUCGCAGAAUCGAUGCGAAAAGUAGUACAGUACUAUUACUCUUCCAUGAGCGCAUAAUUACUCUUUGUAACAUUCUCUCUGGUGUGUGUUGGAAUGACUUCAAGGAUUUUCUCCGUGCCGAAUAGCCACACUGAAUAAUUGUAAUGUUGGUAUCUAGAUUACUGCAAGAAAGAGAUUGGAAAUAUAUUGUAUGCUAAUCAAGAGAAUAUAUAUUGAGCAUCUACAUCAAA
Long non-coding RNA from Schistocerca gregaria, 1213 nucleotides. RefSeq lists it as uncharacterized. The transcript has 3 exons. Lineage: Eukaryota; Metazoa; Arthropoda; Insecta; Orthoptera; Acrididae. The record is from RefSeq and is a predicted model, not a curated record.